GUAGGUGAACCUGCGGAAGGAUCAUUACAGUGUUCCCUGCCCUCACGGGUAGAAACGCCCACCCUUUGUGUAAUAUAUCUUGUUGCUUUGGCAGGCCGCCCUCGGGCACCGGCUUCGGCUGGGUUGCGCCUGCCAGAGGACCCCAAACUCUGAAUGUUAGUGUCGUCUGAGUACUAUAUAAUAGUUAAAACUUUCAACAACGGAUCUCUUGGUUCUG
Molecule: unclassified non-coding RNA, 217 nt
Filed under: rhizosphere metagenome
Description: partial ribosomal RNA internal transcribed spacer region
Source: RNAcentral